GACGAACGCUGGCGGCGUGCUUAACACAUGCAAGUCGAACGGGCCUUGUCCCCUUUUUUUUUGGGGGUGGGGUUAGUGGCGAACGGGUGAGUAACACGUGAGUAACCUGCCCCUCACUUCUGGAUAACCGCUUGAAAGGGUGGCUAAUACGGGGUGUUCUGGCCUGCUCGCAUGGGUGGGUUUGGAAAGAUUCGACCGGUUUUGGUUGGUUUGGUGGGGGAUGGGCUCGCGGCCUAUCAGCUUGUUGGUGGGGUGAUGGCCUGCCAAGGCUUUGACGGGUAGCCGGCCUGAGAGGGUGGGCGGUCACACUGGGACUGAGACACGGCCCAGACUCCUACGGGAGGCAGCAGUGGGGAAUAUUGCACAAUGGGCGCAAGCCUGAUGCAGCGACGCCGCGUGAGGGAUGGAGGCCUUCGGGUUGUGAACCUCUUUCGCCAGUGAAGAAGGUCCUGCUCUUUGUGGUGGGGUUGACGGUAGCUGGGUUAAUGAAGCGCCGGCUAACUACGUG
RNAcentral lists this ribosomal RNA (508 nucleotides) under uncultured bacterium. RNAcentral describes it as "partial 16S ribosomal RNA". It matches the Rfam family "Bacterial small subunit ribosomal RNA", at positions 28 to 507 of the family's 1533-position model. The record is from RNAcentral.